GUCAGAUCCUACCUAUAUCUAAAUUUUGAUAAUUUUUUCAUCAUGGAUUAUUUUUGCAUUCAUUUUGAUACUUGUUAAAUUUGUUAAAACAUUAUCUUGAUCACUGAUUGUUUUGGUGCCACAUUAAAUUUUGUGCGGGAAGGAAGACCACCCCCUAAAGCAAGCCUUGAACUGGGUAUUACAGAAAAUUCUGCUGGGGUGGGGGGCAUAAGAGGGAGAGAAAUUUUAAAACAAGCAUGAAAUAACAUCCAUAUAUUUAGUUCCAUUCACAUAUCUGAAUAUUGGACAUUUGUGCUUUUGUCUUCUCAGAAAGGAGAUUCACUGUGAAUGAGUGUGACUGAAGCCAGGGUGCAGGCGAGUAACCUGAACAAAGCAGCUCGGCAGGGCAGCCAUUUGAAACCUGCUUCAGGACUUGGACACCUCUGUCCUGGUCAUUCUCAUGUUGGUUUGUUUUUAUUGUCUUUUCCAUGACUGGAAAAUAAGUUUUGAAUUUGGGGAGCUUUAAGGGAAACAAAAUGGGAUAAGUAAAUUUCAGAUUAUGGAAAUUGCCCAUUACCAGUGGGAACAUGAGUUCCUAAAGGAAAAAAACAAUAGAACACAACCACUUUUCCUAUACCUGUACCACAUUUAUAUAUAUAUUUUACAAUAAAGUUCAACUCCUCUGAUAUAAGAAAAUUUUUAUAUUAAAGUAUAUGGGGAAGCCAUUCUGGUUUGAAUUUGAUUUGACCUGAAUUUCAUUUGAACCAAAGAAGUCUGAUUUACGGCCUGUCAAACAUACAUUGUACAUCUGCUUUAAUCAUUACCCUAAAGCAGAGUGCACUUUUUGAAGAUAAGAAUUAAUGCCUCCCUUCCUAUGAUGCCAGGGUCAUGUUGACCCGCUGUACCCAUGCUAAUCUGUAACAAAGAUCUCCUUGAAGGAAUGUACCCCUGUCGUGCUCGAUGUACAUCUCUUUGUUUUGAAACGGUAUAUAACUGUGCUGAAAAUCGCUCUUAGCCAGAGCGCUUUCUUCCCUUGUGAAGGCUGCGACUCCUAGGCUAUAGUCCUCAGUUUGGCUCAAAUAAAACUCUCUUCUUUUCUUUUACAAUAGAAUGAUUUUUAAUUAUUUGCGUCAAUACCUCCUAACACAGGUAUUCUUUAGGGAAGAUGUUGGCCCUCCCUAAAGGAAUACUUCUUUCUUCUAUGUAGUCAUGUUGGGACUCAGUCUGACUUGGAAGUAUUCAAAUUAAUGCACUAAGGAGCUGGGUUAUAAGAGAGCUCAAUUAUACUAUUUAAAAUAUUUAAAACCAAGCAUAACCUCUGAGCUAAAAUGAGUAAUUGUGUAAAUAUCUCACCACUGGCAGAAGGGAGUAACUCGUCCACAGAGCACACUAUCUGAAUAACUAAUGGCUAUGUAGUUACACUGAGACUGACGGCAGGAGCUAGCUUAAAGUCGAGUCCUCCUGCUGUUGUUUUUAAGCAUUUGGUAAAGCAAUGUAGGGAGUGGCAUCCCUAAAUUUGUCUAAAAAACAAAACAAAAAAAGAACAAUUAUGAAUAAAAUUCCAUUAACCUAAAAAGGGUGAAAACGAGAAUUCUAAUGUACAGUCAAAAUAUGCCUUGCACAUUGCACACAAAUUCAAUGUUAUGAAACUACUAACUGCUUAAGUGAAUAUUCUCUUGAGGAAUUUCUGAGAUCUGAGGAUUUUUUUUCCCUUUUGGUGGUACAAUUAUAACAGGUGGGUUUCGUGGAAUUUGUUUGGUGCUGGUGGGGUGGCUGUCAAUUCAGGGUAGAUUUGUACCUGUGUUAAUCUGAAGUACUUUUUCAUUUUCUAAGUAGUGAUAACUUAUUUGUAGGUCAUGGGAUCAAAAGGUGACUACUUGAGCUGAUAGAAAACCGUUUGGUUUAAGAAUAGGAAGGACAAGUGUUGGAGACAUGAGAGGGCUUUAGUCCUCAGAACUAUGUCACCCGUUGCCAUGGGUCACCCUGUCAUCAUAAUCUUGGAUGGACUCUAUAAUGCCAUGUUUGUUCUGGAGCCCAAAUGGAGUUGGGUUCCUCUGGUGCCACUGCAGCCCAGAACACCCAGGCCACCCAAGUGGGGUUAGUAGUGUAUGGAUAGGAACUGCUAAGGAAUGGCAAGGAAGCCUCCUUUCAUAAGGUGACAUCCUUGAGUCACUAUCAACAGGCCCUGUACUUCUCAGACACACACAUGUGCAAGACAGGGUAGGGUAAGUCCCUAGUGAGAAAACAGCGUGUUACAAGACGGGGCAGAGCUCCAUUCACGCUAAGGAGCUCAGGCACAAACCUACACUCUAAAGGAGUCUGCCUAAGAAGCUACUCAUAGGGCUUUACAAGAAGGUGGCACCCAGACAUUCAUCUAGUAUGCUCCAAAUUCUGUUCACUGCCCUCCUUUUGUGGAGGACAUAGGGGAACAGAAACCAUUCUGGCCUAAAGGUCCUGCUGCUUCCAAGGAGACGCCAUCAAGGCCACAGUGAGGCUCCUCUCCCUUUUCUCCCCUCCUCCCAUCACAGGAGCUGUUAUUGUGCCUUCCCUGGCCCAGAAGUGAUGAUCACACCUUCAAAUGCAUUUUGUCUCAUUCAACAUCCUUGAGAGGACCCUGGUUCCUGAUGAUUAAACACUAGGCGGGAACCUUUUGGUUUAGUGCUGCUGGAAGCAAGAGGAUGGAGAUGGUCCCCUGAUUAAUAUUCUAGAUUAAUGGAUCACUGAAAAGAAGCAGUCAGACCUUGGCUUUCUUCAUGCUGUCUUCCUCAUGUGAAACUGCCAGGCUAGAAAACAACAAAAUUAAAAAUGGACUGUUGGGGGCCAGCCCCGUGGUGUAGUGGUUAAGUUUUGGCACGCUCUGCUUCAGUGGCAUGGGAUCGCAGGUUCGGAUCCCCAGUGUGGAUCAUCUCUGGCUCACUCGUCAGCCAUGCUGUGUGCAACCCACACGGAAAAUGGAGGAAGAUUGGCAUAGAUGUCAGCUCAGGGCUAAUGUUCCUUAGCAAAAAAAAAAAAAAGAAAAAGAAAAAGAAAAAAAAAAGACUGUGAUAAGAAUUGAGGAAUUACCAUUAAAUUUCUUAGGCAUUAUAAUGGUAUUGUGGUUGUUUUUUGUAAAAAAAGAAUGUCUAUCUUUUAGAGAAACAUGCUGAAUUAUUUAUGAAUGAGAUGAUAUCUGGGAUUUGUUUCAAAAUAAUUGGGGGCGGUGGCAACUUUGCACAAGUUGAUAAUUGUUCAAGCUGGGUCAUGAGUACAUGGGAGAUCAUUAUUCUAUUCUCUGUACUUUUAUAUAUAUUUGACCUUUCCCAUAAUAAAAUUAAAGAAAAAAAUGUACCUCUAAAACCUUAAUACCUUGAGCAGAUAAACAUGCUUUUGCUGCUGUCUCAUUUGUUGUUAAAGAGAAAUUAAUUCGUUCAACAUUUAUGUCAGGAACUAUGCCAGGCACUGAAAGCACAGAAAUUAAAGUCACACCAGGUAUUAGAUGAUAUAAGGAAUUAUUACUAAUUUAUUGGGCGAGAUAAUGGUAUUAUGGUUAAGUAGGAAAAUGUUCUUACUUUUUAGAGCUGCAUACAGAAAUCUUUAGGGUGGCAGUGUGAUAUUUAUAAUUUACUUUGAAUUUCUCAGCAAAAAAUCCAUAUUUGAAACAAAUAUGGCAUCAUACUAACAACUUAAACUCUAGUUGGUAUGUAUGUAGUAUUAUACUAUUCCCUUUACUUUCCUGAAUGUUUGAACCUUUUCAUGAUGAAAAGAUAAAAAACUCUGUGUAUGUGUUCAGGGAGGAUGCUCUCCAGGAGCUCAGGCUAAUGGAGGAGACAGAAGUGGACAGAGAAUUAGAAUCUGCAGUGAGAGAGGGAAGCGCGGGGUGCUCCGGGUAUACAGAGGAGUCUCAAAAUCAGGCCGAUUUGGGGAGGGUGGUUGAGGAGUGGUGGACCAGGAAAAGGUGACUCAAGCUAGUUUUCUUUGAAGUAGUUUUACUACGAAAGUAACACGUGCCCGCCGCUGAAUGAGUAAGCCGAGCCGCGCGCAGGGAGAGACGACACUGCAGGCAGACGGGCUCUCGGCACCAAGUAAGAGUCAAGAGAAGGAAGAUGGCAGACUGAGGAAACAGAAGCCGUUCUCAGGCUACAGAGGACGCUGUGAGAGGGAAGCACAGGGUACAUGUGAUUAGAGGGGGAUCAGUCAGGUCUGACCUUUACCCUGAGGCUGCUGAAGGAUUUUAAGUAGGGGCUGACACGCUCAGGUGUGUGCUUUAAGAAAGUUCAGUCUUCCAGCAAUAAGGAAGAAAAGUGACCACGGGGGCCAGGAAACCCAGGUGACAUCAGAGGAAGGGGCCCGUUUGUGUGAUGUGUCCCCAGAGGAGGUACCCUGUCAGUCAUCACCCAGGAGAAGGCACAAAGAGGUGGCUUUUGUGAUGCGCCAGCCCACAGGCCGUGUCUUCCAUAAAUGAGCUGCCAGCCUGAAGGGGGUCCUUUAGGGUGUGCCUUUUUGAAAAUUGCACAAAGGUGCCCAGGGAGUGUGAGAAUUACACAAAAGAGCCCUUCUACGGGGCUGAUGCAGGCUUGUAUGACUCGGUUUGGCACCACGCGUCUUGCAGACCAACCCCAACUUAGUUUGGUGCCACAGGCCUUGUACAACUACACACAACCAAUCUGGAGUGACCCUGCUUAGACUGAAUCCCACCAGUGUGACCUGGAGUGUGGUACUUAUAACCUGCUCUGCGCCUCCAUUUCCCCGUCUCUAAGAUGGAGCCUACAGUUACUGUGUGCGUUAAAUAGAGAACGAGUAUCAGCCCUCAGCGGGGUGCCUGGCACGAAGUCAGUGACUGUUUAAAAACGCUUGGCUAUUACUAUUGUUUUUAAGAACCUUCUUCUAAGAUAAGCUUUAAGAAGUACAACUAGUUUUGAAGCAAGGCUUGCAGAAGGAUGGUUUUCUUACCGCUGGAGUCUGUUUCAGAAUCAGAGUCACUGUCACUAUCUUCAGAAUACUCCUUGUGUUUUCUUUUAGGUGAUUUUUUCUUUCUCCUUUGCUUAGACCUUUCUUUUGAAAGACUGGACUUUUUCCUUUCUUCUACAUAAAAUACAAAUAAAAAACAAAUUUCUAAAGGAGUAUUUCUGAGUAUCAAUGAUGGGCAAAUUGAGUCAAAGCAAAGUUUAAUGUUCAACUAUUUAUAAACUUAUUUUUUAACUUCCCAAUAUAAAAACCACUGUAUUUUAAAAAUACUCUCUGAAGUAAAAGCUGAAGUGGUGCUUUUCUUUGUUUCUUCAUCCUCUACUGGUGUAUGUUCAAUCAGAGCCAAAUUUAAAGAAAAUGGUUGUAAGAAUCAGAAAAGUGAUGACAUAUGGACCCUAGAGUAUAAAAAUAUGGAAUUAAAAUUUUUCAGUAGCAAAUUGAUUGUCCAAGGACCAUUAAAAGCGAUACUGGAGCGCUUCUGUAAGAGUCCAGUUCAAGAUUCUGCCCCCUUCGUGAUAACAGAAUCAUUUACUCUUGCAUAAGGCUUUACAGUUUACAAAGUGCCAUUCAAACUGGCAGCGGCAUGGAGGAUUUAUAUGUUCCGAAGAGACCAAAGGACAAAAGUAAGCAAAGAGGAACCAGAAGGAGAGAUGAAAGAAACUGGAGACAAGAAGGCUGAGGGCAGACUUCAGUCACAAUUUUACUCCACGUGUGUAACGGACAUACAGUAGGGCAGCAAGUGUUCCGUUUCCCCAGAGCAGAAAGAACUUAACACUCUGCAGUAUAAAGAGACCUCACUCUGUUGUAGAGAAUCCUGAAAAUGAGUAUUAUUAAAAUUCUCUAAUCGUUUAGAAAGGGAAUUCCUCUGUCAUAGAAUCUUUUCCUCUGAAGAGCACAGCUAGAAUAAUUUAGGUGUUGCCUAGAAAAUUAUUUUUAGGGUGCCUUCCAACUCUAAUUCUUUGAGUUCAGAUUCUUUGAGUUCAGUAUCUGUAAGAACAAGUUUCUGAAAAUAAUGCAUAACCCUAUCACAAAUUACAAGUCUACCUAUCAAGCAUAUUAUCUCAACUCAAGCUAAAGUAGACAGAAAUAGAGGAGCAGCUUAUGAAUAGCAGCAAAGAAAAAAGAAACAAGGAAAAAGAAGCAUUAAGCCUUCAAAUAGUAUUAGAUGUAGAAAAAUUAACUAAACAAAACCAUACUGGCAUAUUCAUCUUAAAAAUCCCUUUAUAAUGCUAAACUCUGGAAUGCAAUCUGCUAUUGGGUUAGUGGAGAAAAAAAUUCAAAAUAAUAUAAAUGUAUUAUUUGUUUUAACACUGAACCCUUCUAUGAAUAAGAAAUUAGCGCUCCGUGACUUUAAAGAGAACAAAUAGCAUGCUAAAAUCCACUGGCAACAUGUUUUAAUUCUUAGGUAUGUUCUAUGUUUUAAAACUUAAGGGAUAUAAAAGGAUAAAUCACAAGAAGGUAAAAUGUGAGAUGUACUUAAAUGUUCUUCACCCAUUAAAAUUUUUGACAACAGACUCUGGAUUUAACAAAUGUUCUAUUUUUAAAGUCUAUUUUUUAACAACUUACUCUGGUUCAGGACCAUAUUAGUCAGCUAGGCUACCCUAACAAAAUACCACAGACUCAGUGGCUUAAACAACAGAAAUUUACUUUCUCACCGUUCUGGAGGUCAAAAGUCCAAGAUCAAGGUGCCAUCAGGGUUGGUUUCUGGUCAGACCUCUCUUCCUGGCUUGUAGCCUGCAGCCUUUUGCUGUGUCCUCAUGUGGCCUUUCCUCUGUGCUCAGGUGGAAAGGGAGGAGGGGAGAGGCAGAGACAGAGACAGAUAGAGAGUGAGAGAGUUCUGGUGUCUCUUCCCCUUCGUAUAUAAGGACACCAGUUUUGUUUGAUUAGAGCCCCACCCUUAUGACCUCAUUUAACCUUAAUUACCUCCUUAAAGGCCCUAUUGCCAAAUACAGUCACUUUGAGGGUUAGGGCUUCAACAAAUGAAUAUUUUUUUCCAACAAAUGAAUUUUGGAGGGACACAAUUCAGUCUAUAACAAGGAUUCUUUGGAGAAAGUCCUCAUUCUUAAGGAUUUCCCAAUUCUCUAGUCCUCUCGCGCUCCGCUUCAGUGGCCCAGGGUUUCGCCGGUUCGGAUCCUGGGUGUGGACAUGGCACCGCUCAUCAGGCACACUGAAGCAGCGUCCCACAUGCCACCACUAGAAGGACCCACAACUAAAAAAAAUAUGCCACUAUGUACUGGGGGGAUUGGGGGAGAAAAAGCAGAAAAAGAUUGGGAACAGUUGUUAGCUCAGGUGCCAAUCUUUAAAAAAAAAAAAAAAAAAAAGGUACAGAUUACAGACAGCCUGAGCAUCCAGGCUAGAAACGCAGCCCGGGAGGCUGGCCAGUGCAUCCCUUCUGCCGCACGCAGGACAAAGCUCCUAACUGCUCAUUUCACCUGCAGUAUGUGACAGAAACAGUUUCACGUGUGGAAAUCACUUCAUUUGUUUACACAUUUUUAUGAAAGGAAAAAGAAGUCUGUUUCAAUUUGGUUAAAACUUUAGUUUUCAGAAAUCCGGGAAUUAGUAAAGACAAUUUAAGAAAAUGAAGGACUAAAAGAAGCAGAAAAUAAAGGGAGCUCUGAAAAGUUCUAUGUGACAAAAGUUGUAUUCAGUGAGAUUCAGGGUGUCUUCCCUUUAGCCCCUUUUUGGAAAAGGAGCACAUUGUCCAUCUGCUCUGUGGAGGACAGUGAAAAUUUUUUUGUUUUAUUAUAAUGUUUGUCAUUUCUUCUAAUUUUUGCUGUUACUCAUAAACUGAAAAAACAAAACUAAACAACAACUAACAGAGGCUCAAUUCCCCCAAAGUUUAGCUGCUUAUAUCUCUAUUUGGUUUUUAAAAAAAUCCUUACAAAAGAAAUAUAUUUGGUUACAUUAUUUGCAUAAAUUACUUUUUACUUUUUUAUUCAGGGGAAAUGGUAUUAUAACUAUGCAGAGUUGGACUCAGAGGGUCUCCCACUUCAAGAAACCGACAAACUAAAAGUAAACAUACAAACAACAGUUCUUGGAAUAUAUUAGUAUAGGGGCCAACGAUGGCUGCCACACUGUAAAGACACACAGUCCUUGUAGUGUAAGGCCUAAAAUUAAGGCCCAAUACUGUUACCAAACCAGGUUUGUUUUUGCCCAUCGCCUGGAAAGCCAAACACCAAAAUUGCAGCAGAGAGGGUUUUAAUCACAAGGCAGCCAAUUGAGGAAGCGGAAAAACAAGUCUCAAGUCCGCCUCCUCAAAAAUGGGGCCUUAUGGGGUAGGGGGCAAAGUGGUCUGAAAUGUGGAGAUAGAUGUUUGGAGGUGACAAGAGGUGAGGUAGUUGAUGAUGUGUGCAAGCAUAGUCAGACUUCAUGCCUCUCCACAGGACGCAUGCUCACAAAACGGUGGCGGUAGCAUGAUCUGAGGGUGGAGUUUUUAGCCUCUUGACAUCCAAUGGUCACUUAUUGGGCAUCUGUGAGGGCCCAGUUGAUGGGUUGGUGGUCUCAACCAGCCUGAACUGGACAAGGGGGUCCUAAUUCCUGAAAAACAGCUCAGACACCCAUUACCAUGGUGACCCAGGCUCCAGGGAGACGUUAUCUAUA
This is a long non-coding RNA of Equus asinus (donkey), 8523 nucleotides long. The record is from Ensembl. Lineage: Eukaryota; Metazoa; Chordata; Mammalia; Perissodactyla; Equidae.